RNAcentral lists this transfer RNA (79 nucleotides) under Oxyloma wujiaquensis. RNAcentral describes it as "tRNA-Ala". Lineage: Eukaryota; Metazoa; Mollusca; Gastropoda; Stylommatophora; Succineidae. The record is from RNAcentral.
GGAGUUAUACUUUAUUUAAGAAGAACUAGUUUGCAUCUAGACAGAAGGUAACGCAUCUAUAAGACCUACCUUUUCUCCA